UACGGAGGGUGCAAGCGUUAUCCGGAUUUACUGGGUUUAAAGGGUGCGCAGGCGGAUAUGUAAGUCAGUGGUGAAAUCUCCGGGCUUAACCCGGAAACUGCCGUUGAUACUAUAUAUCUUGAAUGCUGUGGAGGUAAGCAGAAUAUGUCAUGUAGCGGUGAAAUGCUUAGAGAUGACAUAGAAUACCUACUGCGAAGGCAGCUUACGACGCAGAUAUUGACGCACAUGCACGAAAGCGUGGGGAUCAAACAGG
Molecule: ribosomal RNA, 253 nt
Filed under: uncultured bacterium
Lineage: Bacteria
Description: partial 16S ribosomal RNA
Rfam family: Bacterial small subunit ribosomal RNA
Source: RNAcentral